UGUGCAUUCCUAUGUCCAAGCCACUGAUACGCCAUGUGAGCAAAACCAGCUGCUAAUUCCUGCAGAACUCUGCUCAUCACUUCCAUCAAGGGAGAGGUGUUUUUAUGUACCACUACCUGCAAUCUUGGGUCUUGAUUCUGCAAGCACUGUUGUUCCAUUAACUCCAAUGGAACUAGGCCUAGUAGUAUGCUCUACAUCAGUAGCAAACAUUUCCAGGACCAGGACUUAUAUCCUUUUUUUAAUAUGAGGGAUGGGUGGAUGUAGUGAGGCAGUGUGGCCUCCCUGUGAGCCAGAGGGGAGGGACCGCUCUCUGCACUCAGGUGAACAGAGUCAGGCUGGGCUAGCCCCUCCCAUGGGAAGUUGAGAGGUGGAACAGAAAAUAUAAAAGGCGGCUCCUCCCAUUCAGUUGGAGCCAAGCCAGGGAAGAAGACUGAUGUGCCUGACUUGCUGCAGGCCUCUGACUCUGUUUCUGAACCAAGCAGUGCCCUGCUCCUGAAGGAGACCAAGUCCGCAGAGGAACUGCUGGGACUGCCACUGGCCAUCUGCCCCAGGGAGAUGGAGGACACCCACGGAGCCAAGAGACAGUCAAUUUAUGGAACUGGUGCAUCAGGAACAUUAUACUUAGGUUACAUAUCUACCAGGUGCACAGAACUCUAGAGGUCACUUCUCCCGAGACCACCAGUGCAGCGAGCAACACCUGGGACCUGUUCGCCUCUUAGAAAAGAAGUCCAACGUAUGCUGCUCCAGCACAGCACUGGGCCAGGCCUCAGGGGUGAGGUCCUUCUGUUAUCCUGAAAGGACCACUGAGUAAGAAGAGGAACUGGAGGGGGUCAGCCCACACUGCCCAUUACAUCCUCACUUUAGAGCACAAGAAGAGCAUCUCCACAGGCAAAGACAAACGGACACUACUUAAUAGAAAUCUCCAGUCUCAGCAGGUGGAUCCUGUCUGAUGAAGUGUCAGCAAAAUGUCAGCUCCACAGAAAGAGAUACCUGCACCCUGCACAAGUGAAACAUUGACAGGUACCCAUCUCCUGCUCAUCUGAGGGACAUGCCAGGAGGACCCUGACCACACCUAGCUCUCAUGAUGAGGAGAUCAGCACUCUCACUUUGAUUGUGGAAGCCACUUCCCACUAGCUGUCUAUACCCUGAGUUUAGCAUUGUGGACAGAGCUGCCCAGAACAAGUUGGGAGAGGUGCAGAAGACCUGGUAAAUAAAUAGUGUUCCAAUAUGUUGCUUCAGAUAUGGUGGAAGUGGUCUGAAGUCUCAGCUCUUGGAUCUGCACAGGAUUUGGGUUAUUGACUUGCAGCACAUUUUGAGGUUGUUUCUGGGUACUUCAUUCCUUUCCAAGUGUUUGCUGCUUAGCUGUUUGGCUGGCUGGCUAAAUUGGGUUAAAGGCUGGACAGCUUCUCACUUGCAGAUCAUGUGAUAUUAGGGUUGUCACUUGGGGGCUUUUUUAUACUAACUUUGUUUAUUUUCAAGUAUGUACUUUAAGCAAGGCUAAUUUUUAACAUGCUUGACCUUACCUGAGUCCAUUCUCUAUUUGCUGCUGCUGCAGUAGGGGAUCCUGUUGUCAAACUUAAACCUUGAUGCUUCAUGAAAGUAUGUACAGUACAAUAGGUAAAACAACAGCUGUGAUCUGUUUUCUGCACCUGUUGAAAAUAAAUUAUGGUGGAGAUUUGCUUAGCUCUUGCCUAGUUAUAUAGUCCCUGUCUGAUCAAGCCAGUGUCUCAGUCCUGCUGUACUCCUCUGUACUUUACACAGUACCUUUUUGUAAGCUAUGAGGCUGAAUGGAGUCUUCACUUAGUAAAGACUGAUUUAACAGCAGCCACUAUCUGUUAACACAAACUUGGCUAUUGCCCCAGGGAUCCAAUACCAAAUUCUAAUGCCAUAUUUGCAUUUUAUAUUCAAGUGUAAAAAGGAUUAAAUAAUGUGUUAGUGUUAUGCUGACAAACAUUUACUGACCAUCAGAAUUAACUAACUGAAAGAGUCAAGUAGUUCUAGAAACCAAAUUACAUGUGUGCAUUCUGUAGUGUCAAACCUUAGGGGACUGGCCAAACCCCAGCUGCCUAAUAUUUUGGGCAACGGACAAAGUGUGUUUCUGGAUUGCCACUAGUGAGUGCUAUGCCAAGAGAAAAGGAUCUGGUUGUUGAAGCAGGUUGGAAGUCUUGGCUACAAUGACUCCCCAACUAUCAGGAACUAGCAGAGGGAAGAGGUAUAUCAUGCUUGGAAAUUGCUACUGUGCAAAGAGUAGCAUGGUAGGGUAUCCACACAACCAAAGCACCAGCUAAGUGGUAAGGGUACUGUUAAAAAGUGAAGAAGCUGGCUGUGCCUUCCCCUUUAUGUUACCAAUUUUGCUCAUUCUAAGACUUAAGGGAGCCUGGUCUCAGUUAAACUAGAGGCUGCAGCUGUGGGUGAAAUGUGUAUGAAAGAAUUUGACAUGAGGUCCCAUUUCAGGACAUUAAAAAAAAAAAAGAGCAUGGGAUAAGAAAAACAAAAUGAGCACCUGAACUAUUUUUUAGGGCAACUACAGCUUACACCUUUAAUAAUAGUACCUUUCUAAUUCCUUCAGUUUCAGCCUACAAACUAUACCACUAGUGUAUUGCAGAUAAUUUACUGCUGAUCCCAUGUGCCGAUUAUGAUCUUCAGAAGUUUGAGAGCUGGGUGCACCUGCCAGGGCUUGGAGCUGCUGCCCUACACCACCACAAGGCAGAAGCCUGCUGCUCCCCUGAGCCUGGUAGGCAGAGAAUAGGGUAGGGGAGCUUCAUGAGCUGCACUUUAACUGUAAGAGGCGCAUGUGACUUGGAAGCAGCAGUUUGGCCCUACCCUAUAGCUUUUAAUGUACAAACUUGUAUUCCAGCACUAGCUUCUGUGAAGACUUGUGCCAGGAAUCCAUACCUAAGGCUAGUUUGCCAUCUAAGAAAUGUCAUAACUAAAUUGUAGGUAUAUGCCAAAGUUCCAGUUUUCUUUUAGAAGGUAGCAGCACCAAAAACCAAAGAUGAGAGAGGAAGAGUUUUUGGAAACUGCUUCUGCUUCUCCUGUUGCUUGUAUCUCCACUGUUCCGUAGCCACUUGAGCUCAACAUGAAAGUUUGGUUUUGUGAAUUAAAGUGCAGGCAAUCAUCAACUAUGAAUUAACUACUUAAGCAUUUUGUCUGAGUCUCCUAGGUGCAGAAAUUCAUAAAUCCAAUCAUCCAGGAACCUGUAAACCCUUUCAAGUUGGAGGUAACUGAAAACUUUCCUAAUUGUAAAUUUAACAGACCCCUGGAAGUGUUUCAGGAGGAGAAUAGAAGAAGAUAAAUAAGUUAUGCUCAGAACAGGUGCUACUGCUUUCCCCCUCCCUCACAAUCAAGUACUUUAUUCUUUUUACAGGUGAGCUCAGGCUGCUAGUUUGUGUACUACAAUUCAAUACAGAAGUAGCUUUUAAAAGUACAAGGUGUUUUAAGUCUGCUUAAAUACGUAUGCACAGUUAGAUUACUUGGUCACUUAUCAGCAAAAAUAAUCACAUAGUACCAAUCAGGCUUUUUAGUGCUAUACCAGUACUUUAUUUAACAAAACAAACUACAAAAAAAAACCUAAGAAUUUCAAGUUUGUUUUACAAAAAACAACCCUGGAGAUGUAGUUU
This is a long non-coding RNA of Chelonia mydas (Green sea turtle), 3620 nucleotides long. RefSeq lists it as uncharacterized. NCBI's taxonomy places the organism in Eukaryota, Metazoa, Chordata, Testudines, Cheloniidae. The transcript is spliced from 5 exons. The record is from RefSeq and is a predicted model, not a curated record.